Molecule: ribosomal RNA, 253 nt
Filed under: uncultured bacterium
Lineage: Bacteria
Description: partial 16S ribosomal RNA
Rfam family: Bacterial small subunit ribosomal RNA
Source: RNAcentral
UACGAAGGGGGCUAGCGUCGCUCGGAAUUACUGGGCGUAAAGGGCGCGUAGGCGGACAUUUAAGUCAGAGGUGAAAGCCCAGGGCUCAACCUUGGAAUUGCCUUUGAUACUGGAUGUCUUGAGUUCGGGAGAGGUGAGUGGAAUGCCGAGUGUAGAGGUGAAAUUCGUAGAUAUUCGGCGGAACACCAGUGGCGAAGGCGACUCACUGGCCCGAUACUGACGCUGAGGCGCGAAAGCGUGGGGAGCAAACAGG